RNAcentral lists this ribosomal RNA (392 nucleotides) under uncultured bacterium. RNAcentral's name for it is "partial 16S ribosomal RNA". It matches the Rfam family "Bacterial small subunit ribosomal RNA", at positions 523 to 918 of the family's 1533-position model. The record is from RNAcentral.
AUACGGAGGAUGCGAGCGUUAUCCGGAUUUAUUGGGUUUAAAGGGAGCGUAGGCGGGAGCUUAAGUCAGCGGUUAAAUGGUGCGGCUCAACCGUGCCCUGCCGUUGAAACUGGGUUUCUUGAGAGUGCAAGAGGCGGAUGGAAUUCAUGGUGUAGCGGUGAAAUGCUUAGAUAUCAUGAAGAACUCCGGUUGCGAAGGCAGUCCGCUGGGGCACGUCUGACGCUGAUGCUCGAAGGUGCGGGAAUCAAACAGGAUUAGAUACCCUGGUAGUCCGCACGGUAAACGAUGAUUACCCGCUGUCGGCGGUAGACAGUCGGCGGCCAAGCGAAAGCGAUAAGUAAUCCACCUGGGGAGUACGCCGGCAACGGUGAAACUCAAAUGAAUUGACGGGG